RNAcentral lists this ribosomal RNA (229 nucleotides) under uncultured bacterium. Its description in RNAcentral is "partial 16S ribosomal RNA". It matches the Rfam family "Bacterial small subunit ribosomal RNA", at positions 568 to 796 of the family's 1533-position model. The record is from RNAcentral.
UGCGUAGGCGGGGCAAUAAGUCAGUGGUGAAAUCCUGCGGCUUAACCGUAGAAUUGCCAUUGAUACUGUUGCCCUUGAGUAUAGUUGAAGUGGGCGGAAUAUGUAAUGUAGCGGUGAAAUGCAUAGAUAUUACAUAGAACACCAAUUGCGAAGGCAGCUCACUAAGCUAUCACUGACGCUGAGGCACGAAAGCGUGGGGAGCGAACAGGAUUAGAUACCCUGGUAGUCC